RNAcentral lists this ribosomal RNA (254 nucleotides) under uncultured bacterium. Its description in RNAcentral is "partial 16S ribosomal RNA". It matches the Rfam family "Bacterial small subunit ribosomal RNA", at positions 524 to 776 of the family's 1533-position model. The record is from RNAcentral.
UACGUAGGUGGCGAGCGUUGUCCGGAUUUAUUGGAUUUAAAGGGUGCGUAGGCGGCUUUGUAAGUCAGUGGUGAAAUACUCCAGCUUAACUGGAGGGGUGCCAUUGAUACUGCGGAGCUUGAGUACAGAUGAGGUAGGCGGAAUUGACGGUGUAGCGGUGAAAUGCAUAGAUAUCGUCAAGAACACCGAUAGCGAAGGCAGCUUACUGGGCUGUAACUGACGCUGAUGCACGAAAAGUGUGGGGAUCAAACAGG